This 300-nucleotide unclassified non-coding RNA is filed under the name uncultured Ascomycota. RNAcentral's name for it is "sequence contains 5.8S rRNA gene, ITS2". The stretch from base 1 to 79 matches the Rfam family "5.8S ribosomal RNA", at positions 76 to 154 of the family's 154-position model. The record is from RNAcentral. Lineage: Eukaryota; Fungi; Ascomycota.
AGGGACAGGUGAAUCAUCGAAUCUUUGAACGCACAUUGCGCCCUUUGGUAUUCCACUGGGCAUGCCUGUUCGAGCGUCAUAUACCCCCUCAAGCCCAGCUUGGUGUUGGGCGUCUGUCCGUGCGUGACCGCGCGUGGACUCGCCCCAAAGUUAUUGGCAGCGACCCUGUCGGCUCCUUGCGUUGCACAUAGCGCCCAUGGAAGCCCCCAGCGGAACCGCGUCCAGCGAAUCGCACCCCCAGUUUUGACCUCGAAUCAGGUAGGGAUACCCGCUGAACUUAAGCAUAUCAAUAAGCGGAGG